This is a long non-coding RNA of Clarias gariepinus (North African catfish), 327 nucleotides long. RefSeq lists it as uncharacterized. The transcript is spliced from 3 exons. The record is from RefSeq and is a predicted model, not a curated record. NCBI's taxonomy places the organism in Eukaryota, Metazoa, Chordata, Actinopteri, Siluriformes, Clariidae.
AAUAUUUGUUUUGAAAUGUGCUUCGUUGGGGGGUGUGGCUAUCAGAUUAAUAUGGGGAACGCAGUCUAUUUAAGGACCCUUAUUUUGACUAGUGGUGUUGUGUUUGUGGUGUCUGGGUCCUCUGCAACCUGGCGUGUCCCUUUUCGUUCCUGAUCCCUGUUAAGUUUAAUUCUAGUGGAGGUGACGGCAUGGACGUGUGGGCUAUUCUCGGCGGAGCGCGCUUUUAGUAUCAGCGGCGCUAGCGGGAUCAAAAGGCCGGCCGGUAGAUUGAGCUGCGGCAUCGGCGGUGAGUACUCAUGCAGCUUCGUGCGGGCGAUUUGUCUAAAC